RNAcentral lists this ribosomal RNA (668 nucleotides) under uncultured fungus. RNAcentral describes it as "SSU rRNA". It matches the Rfam family "Eukaryotic small subunit ribosomal RNA", at positions 404 to 1077 of the family's 1831-position model. Lineage: Eukaryota; Fungi. The record is from RNAcentral.
CGGCUACCACAUCCAAGGAAGGCAGCAGGCGCGCAAAUUACCCAAUCCCGACGCGGGGAGGUAGUGACAAUAAAUACUGAUACAGGACUCUUUUGGGUCUUGUAAUUGGAAUGAGUACAAUUUAAAUCCCUUAACGAGGAACAAUUGGAGGGCAAGUCUGGUGCCAGCAGCCGCGGUAAUUCCAGCUCCAAUAGCGUAUAUUAAAGUUGUUGCAGUUAAAAAGCUCGUAGUUGAACCUUGGGUCUGGCUGGCCGGUCCGCCUCACCGCGAGUACUGGUCCGGCUGGACCUUUCCUUCUGGGGAACCCCAUGGCCUUCACUGGCUGUGGGGGGAACCAGGACUUUUACUGUGAAAAAAUUAGAGUGUUCAAAGCAGGCCUUUGCUCGAAUACAUUAGCAUGGAAUAAUAGAAUAGGACGUGUGGUUCUAUUUUGUUGGUUUCUAGGACCGCCGUAAUGAUUAAUAGGGAUAGUCGGGGGCGUCAGUAUUCAGCUGUCAGAGGUGAAAUUCUUGGAUUUGCUGAAGACUAACUACUGCGAAAGCAUUCGCCAAGGAUGUUUUCAUUAAUCAGGGAACGAAAGUUAGGGGAUCGAAGACGAUCAGAUACCGUCGUAGUCUUAACCAUAAACUAUGCCGACUAGGGAUCGGGCGAUGUUAUUUUUUUGACUC